CCUACGGGUGGCAGCAGUGAGGAAUAUUGGUCAAUGGCCGAGAGGCUGAACCAGCCAAGUCGCGUGAGGGAAGACGGCCCUACGGGUUGUAAACCUCUUUUGUCGGGGAGCAAAGAGAGUCACGUGUGACUCAUUGAGAGUACCCGAAGAAAAAGCAUCGGCUAACUCCGUGCCAGCAGCCGCGGUAAUACGGAGGAUGCGAGCGUUAUCCGGAUUGAUUGGGUUUAAAGGGUGCGCAGGGGGAGGUGCAAGUCAGCGGUCAAAUGGCGGGGCUCAAACCCGUACUUCCGUUGAAACUGCAUCCCUUGAGUGCGCGAGAAGUAUGCGGAAGGCGUGGUGUAGCGGUGAAAUGCAGAGAUAUCACGCAGAACUCCGAUUGCGAAGGCAGCAUACCGGCGCGCAACUGACGCUCAUGCACGAAAGCGUGGGUAUCGAACAGGAUUAGAUACCCGAGUAGUC
This 459-nucleotide ribosomal RNA is filed under the name uncultured bacterium. RNAcentral describes it as "partial 16S ribosomal RNA". It matches the Rfam family "Bacterial small subunit ribosomal RNA", at positions 338 to 795 of the family's 1533-position model. The record is from RNAcentral.